GAUGAAGAACGCAGCGAAAUGCGAUAAGUAAUGUGAAUUGCAGAAUUCAGUGAAUCAUCGAAUCUUUGAACGCACAUUGCGCCCUCUGGUAUUCCGGGGGGCAUGCCUGUUCGAGCGUCAUUAUAACCACUCAAGCUCUCGCUUGGUAUUGGGGUUCGCGGUUCCGCGGCCCCUAAAAUCAGUGGCGGUGCCUGUCGGCUCUACGCGUAGUAAUACUCCUCGCGAUUGAGUCCGGUAGGUCUACUUGCCAGCAACCCCCAAUUUUUACAGGUUGACCUCGGAUCAGGUAGGGAUACCCGCUGAACUUAAGCAUAUCAAUAAGGGAGGA
This 328-nucleotide unclassified non-coding RNA is filed under the name soil metagenome. RNAcentral describes it as "partial contains 5.8S ribosomal RNA, internal transcribed spacer 2, and large subunit ribosomal RNA". The stretch from base 1 to 120 matches the Rfam family "5.8S ribosomal RNA", at positions 35 to 154 of the family's 154-position model. The record is from RNAcentral.